UGGGGAAUCUUGGACAAUGGGCGCAAGCCUGAUCCAGCCAUGCCGCGUGGGUGAUGAAGGCCUUAGGGUUGUAAAAUCCUUUCGUGGGGGACGAUAAUGACGGUACCCCAAGAAGAAGCUCCGGCUAACUUCGUGCCAGCAGCCGCGGUAAUACGAAGGGGGCUAGCGUUGUUCGGAUUUACUGGGCGUAAAGCGCGUGUAGGCGGGUCGUUAAGUUGGGGGUGAAAUCCCGAGGCUCAACCUCGGAACUGCCUUCAAAACUGGCGACCUGGACUCAAGCAGAGGCAAGUGGAAUUGCGAGUGUAGAGGUGAAAUUCGUAGAUAUUCGCAGGAACACCAGUGGCGAAGGCGACUUGCUGGGCUUGUAGUGACGCUGAGACGCGAAAGCGUGGGGAGCAAACAGGAUUAGAUACCCGCGUAGUCCCUGAGCGGGCUGGCAAGGCGCAU
Molecule: ribosomal RNA, 447 nt
Filed under: uncultured bacterium
Lineage: Bacteria
Description: bacterial SSU rRNA
Rfam family: Bacterial small subunit ribosomal RNA
Source: RNAcentral